Molecule: ribosomal RNA, 393 nt
Filed under: uncultured Pseudomonadota bacterium
Lineage: Bacteria; Pseudomonadati; Pseudomonadota
Description: bacterial SSU rRNA
Rfam family: Bacterial small subunit ribosomal RNA
Source: RNAcentral
CACGUGUAGCAGUGAAAUGCGUAGAUAUGUGGAGGAAUACCAAUGGCGAAGGCAGCCCCCUGGGAUAACACUGACGCUCAUGCACGAAAGCGUGGGGAGCAAACAGGAUUAGAUACCCUGGUAGUCCACGCCCUAAACGAUGCCGACUAGUUGUUGGGAAUUUACAUUCUCAGUAACGUAGCUAACGCGUGAAGUCGGCCGCCUGGGGAGUACGGUCGCAAGAUUAAAACUCAAAGGAAUUGACGGGGACCCGCACAAGCGAUGGAUGAUGUGGAUUAAUUCGAUGCAACGCGAAAAACCUUCCCUACCCUUGACAUGUCACUAACGAAGUAGAGAUACAUUAGGUGCCCGUAAGGGAAAGUGAACACAGGUGCUGCAUGGCUGUCGUCAGCU